UACGAAGGGUGCAAGCGUUAUUCGGAAUGAUUGGGCGUAAAGGGUGCGCAGACGGUAUGUUAAGUCAACUGUUAAAUUUCCCGGCCUAACCGGGAGCAAGCAGUAGAAACUGGCGUGCUAGAGGGUGGAAGAGAGAAGUGGAAUUCUCGGAGUAGCGGUAAAAUGCGUAGAUCUCGAGAGGAACACCGAUGGCGAAGGCAGCUUCUUGGUCCAUACCUGACGUUCAUGCACGAAAGCGUGGGGAGCAAACAGGAUUAGAUACCCUGGUAGUCCACGCCGUAAACGAUGAUCACUGGAUGUUAGUUGCCUUGUGCAAUUAGUAUCGUAGCUAACGCGUUAAGUGAUCCGCCUGGGGAGUACGGUCGCAAGAUUAAA
RNAcentral lists this ribosomal RNA (375 nucleotides) under uncultured bacterium. Its description in RNAcentral is "bacterial SSU rRNA". It matches the Rfam family "Bacterial small subunit ribosomal RNA", at positions 524 to 898 of the family's 1533-position model. The record is from RNAcentral.